This 78-nucleotide transfer RNA is filed under the name compost metagenome. RNAcentral describes it as "tRNA-Ala". The record is from RNAcentral.
GGGGUGCCAUGUUCCAAGGGCUGGCGAGGAAGGCUUGCACCUUUCCUGUGUAGGGUUCGAUUCCCUAGCUCUCCACCA